AGGGAUGCUACCGAGCGACCGGAUGCGGAUCUCGAAAGCCUGUCCCAGUUCGGACUGGAGUCUGCAACCCGACUCCACGAAGUUGGAUUCGCUAGUAAUCGCGCAUCAGCCAUGGCGCGGUGAAUACGUUCCCGGGCCUUGUACACACCGCCCGUCAAGCCAUGGGAGCCGGGGGCGCCUGAAGUCCGGGACCGCGAGGACCGGCCUAGGGCGAAACUGGUAACUGGGGCUAAGUCGUAACAAGGUAAC
Molecule: ribosomal RNA, 249 nt
Filed under: uncultured bacterium
Lineage: Bacteria
Description: partial 16S ribosomal RNA
Rfam family: Bacterial small subunit ribosomal RNA
Source: RNAcentral